UACGGAGGGGGCUAGCGUUGUUCGGAAUUACUGGGCGUAAAGCGCACGUAGGCGGCGAUUUAAGUCAGAGGUGAAAGCCCGGGGCUCAACCCCGGAAUAGCCUUUGAGACUGGAUUGCUAGAAUCUUGGAGAGGCGAGUGGAAUUCCGAGUGUAGAGGUGAAAUUCGUAGAUAUUCGGAAGAACACCAGUGGCGAAGGCGGCUCGCUGGACAAGUAUUGACGCUGAGGUGCGAAAGCGUGGGGAGCA
RNAcentral lists this ribosomal RNA (247 nucleotides) under uncultured bacterium. RNAcentral describes it as "partial 16S ribosomal RNA". It matches the Rfam family "Bacterial small subunit ribosomal RNA", at positions 524 to 770 of the family's 1533-position model. The record is from RNAcentral.